AUAAGUAAGUAAGUAAGCCUAACUUCCAUUGUUGAAUUAGCAUAUGCCUCCGGUAACAUAUUACCUUACAUGUCCGAGAGGUAUUGUAAUUUGCAGGCGGCUUACGUAGGUUAAUAAAGCUCAUUUCGUCAGGUUGAGAAGCGCUAUUCGUUGUUAGUGGUGCGUGUUGUUGAGCAAGCCGCGUUAAGCCGGGUUGGCGAGCACUGACUGCUUCGUCAUUUCGAAAGGUUGUGUUUAACGCAGGUGGCUCCAAAGGGUUUAAAUCACCUGGUCGGGUAACACUUGACGCCACAUUUUCCGGAUGAUUUGUGCACGUCGUGCAAGCACUUGCAGCCCUUACCCCCUCAUUUGACGGGCACUCAAAACUGUGUUUGAAACACGCGCGUGAAUCCCAACUUCGUCUGGUUGAGGAACACUGCUCGCUGCAUCAGUCGGGCGGUCGAUGUGGGACACGUGGAAAUGUGGAGAUUCCUCCAACGUAGCGUUAGAAUUCACAGGCGUGUAAUGAUUUGCAGGACAUACAACGCUCGUUUGGUGGGCACUCGAUGCUAUUGGUGGAACACACGCGUGAAACCUAACCUCGUCUGGUUGAGGAACACUGAUUCUGUCGAGCGGUCGUUGCGGAGCGUGCGGAGAUGCGGUGAAUCCUCCAACGUAGCUGUAGAGUUCGCAAGCGGGUUAGACUCGUUUACGAAGCAGCUGUCUACCCGUUGUUCGCCGCCGUCGGGUGACCGACCCGUCACUUCAAUUUCAAUACGGGGAAUCUGCUCUUCGCGCGGUACACUUGCCGGUUGUGACAUUUUAAUUCACAAUAGAGUUCGUUUGAAACAAUAUUUACCAGUGGUUAACACUUCUCUGGUUAUACCAGAAGUUUUUUUUUUACAAUGUUGCGUUGAGCAACAGUCAACACGAACGCGACGGCUUUCCAGAUCUAUUUACAAUAUUUUUAUUGCCGAAAGCUUAACUUACGGUGGUGUACAGUAUAAAAACUUCUGCCUAGUCGUACGGUUAGAAUAGAAAAGAGCCGCCGCACUCUAUUUCUUUCCGUACACCCGCCUGAUCCUUUCCGUUCGCCUUAUCCGUGUGUUAUCAAGUAUGCGUGUGGCAUAUUUUACACCGGGCAGUCAUCAAUACGCGUUAUUAUUACUUUACAUCGGACAGUUGCCAGACUCGUCGCAACAGGUACCAAUGUCUUUUUUGCUAUUCUCCAAACACAAUUGCAAUUGUUAGCUGAUUUCAGGAGCCCAUCACCAUAGUCUAAUUGUCUGAAGGUCUUUGCUCACCUGAACACACGCGCACGCUCGAACAAGUUCAACACGAUCGAACACAACCGAAAACAAUCGAACACCAAUCGGUCACUAUCCUGGGAAAGUCUUUGCACCCUGAUUUGACACGCAAUUCGUUAUUUGCGAGGAACACUCAAGCAUACUUAUACAAUCGAAACCGUCGCAGCACACUGUUCUAGGAAGUUAUUUUGUAUCCUAAGACAAUACCCGGCAGCCAAUUGACGUUUCAUACUAGGGCGAGGGGUGUUGAAACGCAUGGAAGAGCAGGAAGAAACACGGACGAGCGCUGAUGAACUGCAACUGUGUGCGUGCAACAGCACCAAACGGCAUGUGACGACGUACAGUGUGUGGAUGUGUGUGUGUAAUUUUAGGCAGCGAAGAUGGAUCGGGGUUAUGUUUACAAAGUGAAAGAGUUUGCAACAGAAGCGUCUUUGUGAUAAACAUAUAUUUUAGUUGCAUAUUUUCAGUGUUAAAGUUUGUAAUGUGAACUUAAAAGUAAUGACCGAUGGUUGAAGCUUCCUAUGUUAGUUUGUUGUGCUUAGUGUGAAGCAAAAAUGUGUGCUAAAGUGUUAUAAAUUAGAAAUAUGUAAACGUAUCCGUCUAGUGUUCGGUUGUACCUAUAUAAUUUUCCAUAUUUUUGGGUGUCCUUAUCGUUUACCAGGAGAAAACGAUAGAUGGAGGUUAGAUACGUGCAGCUAUUUGCCUCCGCAGGAAGUUUCAGAUAAGCCGUUCUCAUCAAUGCCAUACCAUGUACGGUCGGUUAGUUACACUUCAUCACGAAGGACAAUCCUGGGUAACGGAAUGCUGCCAAAACGAUGAAGCUGGCUUGGCCCUCGAUGACGACGCCACUUCUGCACGUUCAUCGUCAUACUUUCAUUUCAACUGGAGGCAUGUUUGUUUAGGCGGCUACAAUAAAUUGUUUGAACAUGUUCAAUGAAACAAACAUGUUGUUUUGGCUUCUCAUAAUUAAUGGUGAAUGCUAGAAAUCUCCGUGAUAACCGUUUUCGUGCGCUUAAUUAGAUUUGUAUGAAAAAUAGUGUAUUUUUAGAAUAUUAAAUUU
This is a long non-coding RNA of Anopheles merus, 2346 nucleotides long. RefSeq lists it as uncharacterized. The transcript is spliced from 3 exons. The record is from RefSeq and is a predicted model, not a curated record. Lineage: Eukaryota; Metazoa; Arthropoda; Insecta; Diptera; Culicidae.